RNAcentral lists this ribosomal RNA (234 nucleotides) under uncultured bacterium. RNAcentral's name for it is "partial 16S ribosomal RNA". It matches the Rfam family "Bacterial small subunit ribosomal RNA", at positions 99 to 335 of the family's 1533-position model. The record is from RNAcentral.
CGGACGGGUGAGUAAUGUCUGGGAAACUGCCUGAUGGAGGGGGAUAACUACUGGAAACGGUAGCUAAUACCGCAUAACGUCGCAAGACCAAAGAGGGGGACCUUAGGGCCUCUUGCCAUCGGAUGUGCCCAGAUGGGAUUAGCUAGUAGGUGGGGUAAAGGCUCACCUAGGCGACGAUCCCUAGCUGGUCUGAGAGGAUGACCAGCCACACUGGAACUGAGACACGGUCCACGA